AUUGAUGCGAAGAUGAAAGCAACUGUCGACAAGGAAAUAUUUGAAACUGAUUCAGUUUCUCUUUUCACUUUUUAUUUUCUGAUUUUUUUCUGUGUAAAACGAAUUCAAACGAUGUCACGCGGG
Molecule: non-coding RNA, 123 nt
Organism: Caenorhabditis elegans
Lineage: Eukaryota; Metazoa; Nematoda; Chromadorea; Rhabditida; Rhabditidae
Source: Ensembl